GGGGGCAUAGCUCAGCUGGGAGAGCACCGGCUUUGCAAGCCGGCGGUCAGCGGUUCGAUCCCGCUUGCCUCCACCA
Molecule: transfer RNA, 76 nt
Filed under: Acidobacteriota bacterium
Lineage: Bacteria; Pseudomonadati; Acidobacteriota
Description: Acidobacteria bacterium (stromatolite metagenome) tRNA-Ala
Rfam family: tRNA
About the family: Transfer RNA (tRNA) molecules are approximately 80 nucleotides in length. Their secondary structure includes four short double-helical elements and three loops (D, anti-codon, and T loops). Further hydrogen bonds mediate the characteristic L-shaped molecular structure. tRNAs have two regions of fundamental functional importance: the anti-codon, which is responsible for specific mRNA codon recognition, and the 3' end, to which the tRNAs corresponding amino acid is attached (by aminoacyl-tRNA synthetases). tRNAs cope with the degeneracy of the genetic code in two manners: having more than one tRNA (with a specific anti-codon) for a particular amino acid; and 'wobble' base-pairing, i.e. permitting non-standard base-pairing at the 3rd anti-codon position.
Source: RNAcentral